Cajanus cajan (pigeon pea) is the source of this 2007-nucleotide RNA transcript. RefSeq lists it as uncharacterized. Lineage: Eukaryota; Viridiplantae; Streptophyta; Magnoliopsida; Fabales; Fabaceae. The record is from RefSeq and is a predicted model, not a curated record.
UAAUUAAUGCAGAGGCAGGGGUUGAAGUUGAAAUAAAACAAUACUAUUCUUCUCACUCAGCGUUGACCAAGGAAGCAUUGGUUGAACUGCCCCGGUCCCUUCGUUCUCAAGCCACCACAGCCAAAAAGGUUUCACCGAAUCAAAUUCCAACAUCUCCAUCCGCGUGUUCCUUUUCUCUGCACAGCAAACAUUAAACCUCUUUCAUGCUGUCCUCAGACUCCGGUUCAGUGCUCCGACCCAAGCCCCCCAUACCCACCCGCCACCCGGCCCGGUCACUCUUCUCCCCUGCCUGCUUCCGCCCGGGAUCCAGACCCGCCGGGCCCAGACUCCCCCUCAAAAUGGAACUCCUCCGCCGAAUGGGCCGCGGCUGCUUCAGGGCGGAGGCCCACGCCGCCGGCCAGGACGUGUUCGACGCCGCCGCCGCCGCCACGCCCAAGACGGCUCCUCAUCACCUUGUUAUAAUGGUUAACGGAAUCGUUGGGAGUGCUGCUGAUUGGAGAUAUGCUGCAGAACAGUUUGUGAAAAGGCUUCCAGACAAAGUGAUUGUACACCGCAGUGAAUGCAAUUCUUCAAAAUUGACGUUUGAUGGUGUUGAUACAAUGGGCGAGAGACUAGCUGAAGAGGUAUUAUCUGUUGUUAGACGUUGGCCAGAGGUGCAGAAGAUAUCAUUUGUGGCGCAUUCUCUAGGUGGCUUGGUUGCAAGAUAUGCUAUUGGGAGACUUUAUGAUUAUUCUUCAACAUUGGCACUUAUUGGUUCUGGUAGAAACUGUUUCAGUGAAGAGACUGAAUAUUCAAAGCAAUGCCUUGAACAGAGUUAUGAAGCCAAAAUUGCUGGUUUAGAGCCCAUGAACUUUAUAACAUUUGCAACACCACAUCUUGGUUCAAGAGGAAAUAAACAGCUUCCAUUUCUAUGCGGCCUUCCUUUUCUUGAGCGAAGAGCAUCCGAAACUGCACAUUUAGUUGCAGGGAGAUCUGGGAAGCAUCUCUUCCUUAUGGACAAUGAUGAUGGAAAGCGUCCUCUGCUCCUGCGAAUGGUUAAUGACUCUGACGACUUAAAGUUUAUGUCAGCUUUACGUGCAUUUAAGCGUCGAGUGGCUUAUGCAAAUGCUAAUUAUGAUCAUAUGGUAGGAUGGCGUACCUCAUCAAUUCGUCGUCAACAUGAACUUCCAAAGUCCAAUCUUCUUGUAAUUGAUGAGAGAUACCCACACAUUGUUUAUGUUGAAGGAGAGACUGCUGAUGACAUUCACAAUAAAACAUCUUCUAAUAUUGGAGGACAAAUAAUCGACUUAGAAGAGGAGAUGAUAAGGGGGCUCACUCGGGUAUCUUGGGAGCGUGUGGAUGUUAGCUUUCGGAAAAGUAAACAGCGCUACAUUGCUCACAGUACAAUUCAGUGUCUUUCCAGCCACCACCUGCAGUAGUGGCGACCUUUUCAGCCACCACCACUACAAAAUGAUUCGUCAUUCUGCGAUCUACUCAACCCUACAAAUGUUGAGUCCAUACCUGUCCUCAUGCACCUGAACGGGCAUCCUUCAUGCACCAAACAGGCCCUCCCAACAAUGCUUGACAGCGCAUUCAACACUCAUUGCCAGCAAACCUUGUGCUGGUUCAUCCCCCUCAAGUGACCCUAACCCGUGACUUGCAUCACUAUCUGACCUCAUUUGGCAGGCCCGAUAGUGCAAACUACUAUUCAGGACUCAGGUGAAAACAUAUUGGUUGAAUUCUGAUGGUGCUGAUGUGGUUUACCAUAUGAUAGAUAACUUUCUUCUUUAGCCUUUUUGUUAAGUUUGACGUCAUCUAAUCAUUGUUAUGAGCAAUAAUAGUUGUAAUCUAAUCAUAUAUCCCCUAUAUGUCUUGCAACAUAAUGAAUUUGUUGUACAUUGUUGUGGCAUGGGAAGUCGAUAUCUCCCACCUAUGUACAUGACGACUCUUAUUGAGUAAUAAUUGUUCAUAUAUUGAUGUUAUUGAGAAUGUGAUAUGAAAAGGAUGCUAGAUUUUAUUCUGUCUAUA